AGGGGCAUGUGAGGGCUGUCGCUGACUCAAAGUCGUGCACGCCCGAGUGUGUCCUCUCACAUAAUAAUCCAUCUCACCCUUUGUGCAUCGCCGCGUGAGCACCCUUUGGGAUCAUCUCGGAGGGGGCUCGCGUUUUCACACAAACCCCCCUUUUAAAAGUGUAGAAUGACCUCAUUUAUGCGCUAACACGCAAUCAAUACAACUUUCAACAACGGAUCUCUUGGCUCUCGCAUCGAUGAAGAACGCAGCGAAAUGCGAUACGUAAUGUGAAUUGCAGAAUUCAGUGAAUCAUCGAAUCUUUGAACGCACCUUGCGCCCCUUGGUAUUCCGAGGGGCACACCCGUUUGAGUGUCGUGAAAACCUCAACCUCCUUGGUUUCUUCUGGAGACCAAAGGCAGGCUUGGACUUUGGAGGCCCUUGCUGGAACCUCUCUCUUUUGAAGGCCAGCUCCUCUUAAACGAAUUAGCAGGGUCCUCUUUGCCGAUCCUCGACGUGUGAUAAGAUGUUUCCAUGUCUUGGUUUCUGGCUCUGUCACUUUUGGGACCCGCUUCUAACCGUCUUGACCUUGCAUCGAGACAAUGUUCGAGCAUGUCUCCCUUCUCGGGAAGCUCCCUCGACCCCACGAACCCUUGACCUCAAAUCGGGUGAGACUACCCGCUGAACUUAAGCAUAUCA
Molecule: ribosomal RNA, 675 nt
Filed under: uncultured fungus
Lineage: Eukaryota; Fungi
Description: eukaryotic LSU rRNA
Rfam family: 5.8S ribosomal RNA (bases 201-354)
Source: RNAcentral